Molecule: ribosomal RNA, 525 nt
Filed under: uncultured bacterium
Lineage: Bacteria
Description: bacterial SSU rRNA
Rfam family: Bacterial small subunit ribosomal RNA
Source: RNAcentral
AAUAGAUACCCGGGUAGUCCACGCCGUAAACGAUGAGUGCUAAGUGUUAGAGGGUUUCCGCCCUUUAGUGCUGCAGCUAACGCAUUAAGCACUCCGCCUGGGGAGUACGGCCGCAAGGCUGAAACUCAAAGGAAUUGACGGGGGGCCCGCACAAGCGGUGGAGCAUGUGGUUUAAUUCGAAGCAACGCGAAGAACCUUACCAGGUCUUGACAUCCUCUGCUAACCCUAGAGAUAGGGCGUUCCCCCUUCGGGGGACAGAGUGACAGGUGGUGCAUGGUUGUCGUCAGCUCGUGUCGUGAGAUGUUGGGUUAAGUCCCGCAACGAGCGCAACCCUUGAUCUUAGUUGCCCAGCAUUUAGUUGGGCACUCUAAGGUGACUGCCGGUGACAAACCGGAGGAAGGUGGGGAUGACGUCAAAUCAUCAUGCCCCUUAUGACCGUGGGCUACACACGUGCUACAUGGAUGGUACAAGAGCUGCGAACCCGCGAGGGUAAGCCGAAUCUCAUAAAGCCAUUCUCAGUUCGGA